Picea glauca (white spruce) is the source of this 132-nucleotide non-coding RNA. The record is from Rfam. Lineage: Eukaryota; Viridiplantae; Streptophyta; Pinopsida; Pinales; Pinaceae.
GGUUCCUUGGUCUAGUGUUCAGGACAUUGGACUCUAAAUCCAUUUUUGAAUGUUGUGUACAAAUCCAUGGUCUAGUGUACAUGACAUUGGAAUCUGAAUCCAAUAGCUUGAGUUGUAAUCUCGAUGGGACCU